RNAcentral lists this ribosomal RNA (234 nucleotides) under uncultured Candidatus Saccharibacteria bacterium. RNAcentral's name for it is "partial 16S ribosomal RNA". It matches the Rfam family "Bacterial small subunit ribosomal RNA", at positions 584 to 818 of the family's 1533-position model. Lineage: Bacteria; Candidatus Saccharimonadota. The record is from RNAcentral.
UAAGUAGGGCGUGAAAGCGUGUGGCUCAACCAUAUACACAUGUCCUAAACUGCUAAGCUAGAAUAUAGAAGAGGUCGCUGGAAUUCCUUGUGUAGGAGUGAAAUCCGGUAGAUAUAAGGAGGAACACCGAUGGCGUAGGCAGGCGACUGGUCUAUUAUUGACACUAAGGCACGAAAGCGUGGUAGCAACGGGAUUAGAUACCCCGGUAGUCCACGCCGUAAACUAUGGAUGCUA